This 1405-nucleotide ribosomal RNA is filed under the name Mesobacillus selenatarsenatis. RNAcentral's name for it is "bacterial SSU rRNA". It matches the Rfam family "Bacterial small subunit ribosomal RNA". Lineage: Bacteria; Bacillati; Bacillota; Bacilli; Caryophanales; Bacillaceae. The record is from RNAcentral.
CGAGCGGAUCUUCAUUAGCUUGCUUUUGAAGAUCAGCGGCGGACGGGUGAGUAACACGUGGGCAACCUGCCUGUAAGACUGGGAUAACUUCGGGAAACCGGAGCUAAUACCGGAUAAUCCUUUCCCUCACAUGAGGGAAAGCUGAAAGACGGUUUCGGCUGUCACUUACAGAUGGGCCCGCGGCGCAUUAGCUAGUUGGUGAGGUAACGGCUCACCAAGGCAACGAUGCGUAGCCGACCUGAGAGGGUGAUCGGCCACACUGGGACUGAGACACGGCCCAGACUCCUACGGGAGGCAGCAGUAGGGAAUCUUCCGCAAUGGACGAAAGUCUGACGGAGCAACGCCGCGUGAACGAUGAAGGCCUUCGGGUCGUAAAGUUCUGUUGUCAGAGAAGAACAAGUACCGGAGUAACUGCCGGUACCUUGACGGUACCUGACCAGAAAGCCACGGCUAACUACGUGCCAGCAGCCGCGGUAAUACGUAGGUGGCAAGCGUUGUCCGGGAAUUAUUGGGCGUAAAGCGCGCGCAGGCGGUUCCUUUAAGUCUGAUGUGAAAGCCCCCGGCUCAACCGGGGAGGGUCAUUGGAAACUGGGGAACUUGAGUGCAGAAGAGGAGAGCGGAAUUCCACGUGUAGCGGUGAAAUGCGUAGAGAUGUGGAGGAACACCAGUGGCGAAGGCGGCUCUCUGGUCUGUAACUGACGCUGAGGCGCGAAAGCGUGGGGAGCGAACAGGAUUAGAUACCCUGGUAGUCCACGCCGUAAACGAUGAGUGCUAAGUGUUAGAGGGUUUCCGCCCUUUAGUGCUGCAGCAAACGCAUUAAGCACUCCGCCUGGGGAGUACGGCCGCAAGGCUGAAACUCAAAGGAAUUGACGGGGGGCCCGCACAAGCGGUGGAGCAUGUGGUUUAAUUCGAAGCAACGCGAAGAACCUUACCAGGUCUUGACAUCCUCUGACAACCCUAGAGAUAGGGCGUUCCCCUUCGGGGGACAGAGUGACAGGUGGUGCAUGGUUGUCGUCAGCUCGUGUCGUGAGAUGUUGGGUUAAGUCCCGGCAACGAGCGCAACCCUUGAUCUUAGUUGCCAGCAUUCAGUUGGGCACUCUAAGGUGACUGCCGGUGACAAACCGGAGGAAGGUGGGGAUGACGUCAAAUCAUCAUGCCCCUUAUGACCUGGGCUACACACGUGCUACAAUGGAUGGAACAAAGGGCCGCAAAACCGCGAGGUCGAGCCAAUCCCAUAAAUCCAUUCUCAGUUCGGAUUGCAGGCUGCAACUCGCCUGCAUGAAGCCGGAAUCGCUAGUAAUCGCGGAUCAGCAUGCCGCGGUGAAUACGUUCCCGGGCCUUGUACACACCGCCCGUCACACCACGAGAGUUUGUAACACCCGAAGUCGGUGGGGUAACCUUUUGG